Centropristis striata (black sea bass) is the source of this 236-nucleotide long non-coding RNA. RefSeq lists it as uncharacterized. Lineage: Eukaryota; Metazoa; Chordata; Actinopteri; Perciformes; Serranidae. The transcript is spliced from 3 exons. The record is from RefSeq and is a predicted model, not a curated record.
AGCAUGUUGUCCAGGCGCAUCAGCUGGGGAUCCGGGGGCUCCUCCUCCUGGGCGCCGCGGAUACUCAGCACUGCAAUGACAGCAGGAGGUCAAAGACAGGACCGGCAGGCUGAUUUGGACCACAGAGCAGUCAGUGGUAAUGUCGGCUGAUCAACAACAACAAUCUGGAUGGAUCCCUCUGCUUUCCACUAGAGGUCUCCCUUGCCAUUCUUUAAAAGGUUCAAGUCCCACCUUCC